Molecule: long non-coding RNA, 582 nt
Organism: Panicum virgatum (switchgrass)
Lineage: Eukaryota; Viridiplantae; Streptophyta; Magnoliopsida; Poales; Poaceae
Exons: 2
Source: RefSeq, a predicted model, not a curated record
UCUGCUUUAAUAUGGAACAUAGCAAAUACUAGUAGUACUUGCCUAAGUCCAUAGACUUAUGUCUGUGAACAAUAGGGAAACAAAAUUUCGGUUGUUUGAAGUGUAUUUAACAAGCCAUUCAUCUUUCUUUGGUGGUUCCAGAGCACAGAGGAUAUAUUAGCAUUUCAUGGAGGAAGAAAACAGGUUGAACUAGCAUACUUUACAUACAUUGUUUUUCCUUCACGUCAAAUACAGAAAGCAAAGCUGAAACCUAUUUCGUAAAAAAAAAAAUAGACAACUGAUAUUUGAGAGCUAGAUCAUGGAUAAAGCCUGUCAGCUACAUAUACAGAGAAAAAAAUAGGCUAAUGAUUACAAUUGCAAUAUAUGGGCGCCUCGUGGUGUCCGUGAUCUUUAUCAAUCGCUUAAGCUCCUCCUCACAAUGGAAGCCAGCAAGAGAUGCAUAGCAGAAGCGGGUGAUGCCAACAGUUGAUGCAAGAAUCUUAUGAGACAGUGAGAAAGAGUCAUUGACAAAUAUUGUGGCACCUGAAGCUAGCUUCCGCGAAAAAUUAUUGCAAUUAGCAACUUCUCCUCUGAAGCUCAGAA